RNAcentral lists this ribosomal RNA (464 nucleotides) under uncultured Desulfuromonas sp. RNAcentral's name for it is "bacterial SSU rRNA". It matches the Rfam family "Bacterial small subunit ribosomal RNA", at positions 920 to 1382 of the family's 1533-position model. Lineage: Bacteria; Pseudomonadati; Thermodesulfobacteriota; Desulfuromonadia; Desulfuromonadales; Desulfuromonadaceae. The record is from RNAcentral.
CCCGCACAAGCGGUGGAGCAUGUGGUUUAAUUCGACGCAACGCGAAGAACCUUACCUGGGCUUGACAUCCCGAUCGUACCUGCUGGAAACAGCGGGGUCAGUUCGGCUGGAUCGGAGACAGGUGGUGCAUGGUUGUCGUCAGCUCGUGCCGUGAGGUGUUGGGUUAAGUCCCGCAACGAGCGCAACCCCUAUUGCUAGUUGCUAACAUUCAGUUGAGGACUCUAGUGAGACUGCCAGUGAUAAACUGGAGGAAGGUGGGGAUGACGUCAAAUCAUCAUGCCCUUUAUGACCUGGGCUACAAACGUACUACAAUGGCCAAUACAAAGAGAUGCGAAGUCGCGAGAUGGAGCGAACCUCAUAAAAAUGGUCUCAGUUCAGAUUGAAGUCUGCAACUCGACUUCAUGAAGGCGGAAUCGCUAGUAAUCGCGGGUCAGCAGACCGCGGUGAAUACGUUCCCGGGUUUU